GGGACUGUAGCUCAGUAGUUGAGCGCUUGCCUAUCAUGCAUGAGGCAAUGGGUUCGACCCUCAGCAUCA
This 69-nucleotide transfer RNA is filed under the name Marmota marmota marmota (Alpine marmot). It matches the Rfam family "tRNA". Rfam says of the family: Transfer RNA (tRNA) molecules are approximately 80 nucleotides in length. Their secondary structure includes four short double-helical elements and three loops (D, anti-codon, and T loops). RNAcentral also lists the same sequence under 1 other name. The record is from Rfam by way of RNAcentral. Lineage: Eukaryota; Metazoa; Chordata; Mammalia; Rodentia; Sciuridae.